UUUCCGUAGGUGAACCUGCGGAAGGAUCAUUAUUGAAUGAAACACUUCUGGUUUUAUGCUGUUGUGCUGGCCCUUUGGGCAAUGUGCACACGGCUCUGGUCACUUGUUUCUUCUGUCCCACCUGUGCACUGCCUGUAGACACGCUGUGUCUAUGAUAUUUGUUAACACACAACAAUGUUAGUUGGCAUGUUAUAUAUAAUAAUAAAAUAUACAACUUUCAACAACGGAUCUCUUGGCUCUC
RNAcentral lists this unclassified non-coding RNA (241 nucleotides) under plant metagenome. RNAcentral describes it as "partial contains small subunit ribosomal RNA, internal transcribed spacer 1, and 5.8S ribosomal RNA". The record is from RNAcentral.